GACGAACGCUGGCGGCGUGCUUAACACAUGCAAGUCGAGCGGUAAGGCCCUUUCGGGGGUACACGAGCGGCGAACGGGUGAGUAACACGUGGGUGACCUGCCCUCAGCUCUGGGAUAAGCCUGGGAAACUGGGUCUAAUACUGGAUAUGACUCCACGGUGCAUGUCGUGGGGUGGAAAGCCUUGUGCGGCUGAGGAUGGGCCCGCGGCCUAUCAGCUUGUUGGUGGGGUGAGGCCUACCAAGGCGACGACGGGUAGCCGGCCUGAGAGGGCGACCGGCCACACUGGGACUGAGACACGGCCCAGACUCCUACGGGAGGCAGCAGUGGGGAAUCUUGCGCAAUGGGCGAAAGCCUGACGCAGCGACGCCGCGU
This 372-nucleotide ribosomal RNA is filed under the name uncultured bacterium. RNAcentral's name for it is "bacterial SSU rRNA". It matches the Rfam family "Bacterial small subunit ribosomal RNA", at positions 28 to 402 of the family's 1533-position model. The record is from RNAcentral.